UAGGGAAUAUUGGGCAAUGGACGGAAGUCUGACCCAGCCAUGCCGCGUGCAGGAAGAAGGCCUUCUGGGUUGUAAACUGCUUUUAUCUAGGAAGAAAACGCCCAUGCGUGGGAAACUGACGGUACUAGAUGAAUAAGCACCGGCUAACUCCGUGCCAGCAGCCGCGGUAAUACGGAGGGUGCAAGCGUUGUCCGGAUUUAUUGGGUUUAAAGGGUGCGUAGGCGGCCCGUUAAGUCAGUGGUGAAAGCCUCCAGCUCAACUGGAGAACUGCCAUUGAUACUGACGGGCUUGAGUACAGACGAGGUUGGCGGAAUUGAUUGUGUAGCGGUGAAAUGCAUAGAUACAAUCAAGAACUCCGAUUGCGUAGGCAGCUAACUAGGCUGUAACUGACGCUGAGGCACGAAAGCGUGGGGAGCGAACAGGAUUAGAUACCCUGGUAGUCCACGCUGUAAACGAUGAUUACUCGAUGUCGGCGAUAAACUGUCGGCGUCUUAGCGAAAGCGUUAAGUAAUCCACCUGGGGAGUACGCCCGCAAGGGUGA
RNAcentral lists this ribosomal RNA (541 nucleotides) under uncultured Adhaeribacter sp. RNAcentral describes it as "bacterial SSU rRNA". It matches the Rfam family "Bacterial small subunit ribosomal RNA", at positions 355 to 897 of the family's 1533-position model. The record is from RNAcentral. Lineage: Bacteria; Pseudomonadati; Bacteroidota; Cytophagia; Cytophagales; Hymenobacteraceae.